UGGGGAAUAUUGCACAAUGGGCGGAAGCCUGAUGCAGCGACGCCGCGUGGGGGAUGAAGGCCUUCGGGUUGUAAACUCCUUUCGACAGGGACGAAGCUUUUGUGACGGUACCUGUAUAAGAAGCACCGGCUAACUACGUGCCAGCAGCCGCGGUAAUACGUAGGGUGCGAGCGUUGUCCGGAAUUACUGGGCGUAAAGAGCUCGUAGGUGGUUUGUCGCGUCGUCUGUGAAAUUCCGGGGCUUAACUCCGGGCGUGCAGGCGAUACGGGCUGACUUUGGUGGUGGAGGGGAGAAUGGGAUUCCUGGUGUAGCGGUGAAAUGCGCAGAUAUCAGGAGGAACACCGAUGGCGAAGGCAGGUCUCUGGGCAGUAACUGACGCUGAGGAGCGAAAGCAUGGGUAGCGAACAGG
This 409-nucleotide ribosomal RNA is filed under the name Actinomycetes bacterium. RNAcentral's name for it is "Actinobacteria bacterium partial 16S ribosomal RNA". It matches the Rfam family "Bacterial small subunit ribosomal RNA", at positions 355 to 776 of the family's 1533-position model. Lineage: Bacteria; Bacillati; Actinomycetota; Actinomycetes. The record is from RNAcentral.